This is a long non-coding RNA of Sarcophilus harrisii (Tasmanian devil), 2841 nucleotides long. NCBI's taxonomy places the organism in Eukaryota, Metazoa, Chordata, Mammalia, Dasyuromorphia, Dasyuridae. The record is from Ensembl.
AUCAUAUGUAGCAACAGGAAUGGGUAACAGCAUAUAUUAUGUAUUUUGGCAGCUGGGAAGGUACUACUUCUAAUCUUGUUGGCGAGUUUCUUAAAAUUCCACUUUUUAAAAUUUGUUUUUGUUGUUUAAACAUCAGAAACCACUUUUUAGCCUAUAUCAUCAGUAUUGAGUAGAUAAAACCAAAGGUUUCAUAGAUCAACACUGGCUAUAAACACUUGAUAAGUGAUGGCGAUGUUCCAUUGGAAGAGAUCCCUCUGAAUACCUUUGCUUAUAUUUAGGUUUACAGGAAACAACAAUCUGGCUAGUCUAGGAAGCCAUGAAUACUGCAUUUGUGGUUUUGAAGCAGUGACCUCUGAAUCUCCUUCCAAGAAAUUUUGUGAUUUAAUGGAUUAUUGGGCCUUUUUUCACCCUAGCCUUGGAAACUUUACGUAUUUUAAAACUAAGACCUUAUAUUUCAUCUCAUCUCUAGUUUGAUCUUUUGAAGUACCUGUGAUAAGAUAUACAGUAAAUUAUGAAGCGUUUUUAAACUUUGGUCAUUGCUAUAUAGGAAUAAAGUCUCUUCUGACUUUACUAAAUGCCAUCUCAUUACUAUAAAAAUUAGUAUGCACCAUUUUGAGAUGUUCAGUCCUGAACAGGCUAACUUUCUGACUCUUAAUUUUUGAGAGUUGUUAAGACAGCUGGUAUCUCAAGACAGUUGUUGUGUAGUGAUUGGCCUUAAGUUUGGUAUUAUGUUGAUGAUACAGAAAAAACUACUAAACCAUCCUGAUGUAAAAAACCAUCCUAAAACUUCAGAGGUGGAAAGGAUCUUGGAGAUUGUGUAGUUCAGCUCUCAUUUUCACAAAUGAGGAAACUGAGGCUGGCACUAGAGACGGAAUCUGUGAUUAGGAAGUGAAAUGCCUUUCCUUUGCUCCUUUAAAACUGGCACUUGCUCUCAUUUGCCUGCAGAGAUUUCACCGAAGAGUGAAAAAAUUGUGCAAAGCUAAUCAUUUGGAACUGACUUUAUUAACCAUUACUAUUGAUAAUAAUAAUGACCAUAUUAGCAUUACUUUGUUAGGAGCAUUUUAAUUUUGACACACAGUGAACCACAAUAGAAUCUAGGUCUUGCAAAUAGUCCUGUCUUUAUAGAUAAAUAUUGAUAUUUUAUGUCCAUCUAAUGUGUCCUAUCAAUGUGGCCCCGCUAUGGUGGGACUAUUUAUUUUAUUACCAUAAUUUCUUCCCAAAAUAGUUAGAAAAAAGUUGGUUCCCUCUGUCACUUAAAAACCUGGUGCUAUCAAUGAUUGAUAUCAAUUGAUGAUUGGUUUUUCACCUUCCCCCCCCCCAAGAAAUGUUCUUCCUAUUGACCAUGGUGGUUAUUAAUAUAAUAUAUUAAUAUAAUACCACUUAAGGACAUGCAUCUCUUUAUCCAAUUUCUCCACAGCAGCAGCUUGACCAUGGGAUACACUUCUGCUUUUGUGUCAUGAUGACCAGUUCUGCUAGCCAUAGCCGAUCUGGUAUAAGAAUAAAUGGGAUAUAGAUGAUAUUAUUUCUUUUUUCCUUUUGGUUUGUGAAUUACUGAAAUCUCAAAAGCUACUGAAUUAUUCAAGUGGGAUUACUAGAGUAUUAAGUUUCAUUGAUAAAGGAACAAAUCUCAGUUGCUUUACCCUUACCUUCCUUAGGCCACAAAGUCUCCAGUGUUAUACACCAGCCUGGUUGUAAAUUAACAGUAAAGUGGGUGUGUGAGGGGGAGGAUAGCUGAUGUUACCUGGGAUGCUGGUAUACCCAUUAGUGAGAAGCACUGUACUGGUGUAAUGUUAUAAACAGUGAAAUAUAUGUAAUCUAGUCUGCAUGAGACUAAAAUAAUUGUGUGGGUUUUGUUUUGUUUUUUAAUUAUCCCUGUGAGGACAAAUAAGAGACAGCCACGCUGUGUCUACUAAUGCUUUUUGGAAUAUUUUUUGGGGGGGGGCUUGAAGUGAUUACUUCCUAUCAUUAACACUAGGUUUUGGGGAUAAAAACCCCAAACUUGGGUAGAUUAAGGGAAUUGUCUGUCUAUAAGCAAUCUAAGAGAAGGAAGUUGAAACUGUAAACUUAACAUUUAUGAGAGAAAGGGAAUGGAAAAGUGAAGAUUAACCAUAAAGUUUGAAUAAACAAAGUAUUGCCAAGCAUUGUUUUUUUUUCCCAUGAAAUAUGUAUUGUAUUUAGAAUUUAACACAGAGAAUGGCAACAUUAGGCAAAAACUGCCCAGUCUGAUGGGAAGAAGAGAAAAUUUUACUUUAAAGAUAUUUAAGGUUGAGCUAUGAAGAAAAGUAGGAUCCAAGUUUUAAAUGACAGGUAGUCUAUGCAUUGAUGACAUUUUAUAGUUUGCAGGAUAGGCAGGUCCAAGAAGCUGAUACCCCUGAGCAGUUUGUUUCUGCUAGACUGGAGUGUCUGGGCAUAUUAGCUAUUGACCGGUUCCUAUGGAAUAAACAAAAGGCAAUCAUGUUCAGGGAUGUCCAUUUCCUUGAAAUAAAAUGCAGUCUUCUGUGGCUUCAAAGUGUGCACCAAAACAGACAGAACCAGUGAUGACCAUAAAUCAGAAAAACAUGCUUACUGUUUAUUCUUGAAGAAAAUUAUCAAUUCAAGUAGCCAUCCUAGGAAUUUUUUCCUCUUACUGGCAUUUUUAUCCCUCGAGAUCUAUCAGCUCCUGCUGUAUUUCCAACUUCUUCUCUUGGAGUCAUGUUACAUACAAUUGUAUAAAGAAGACUGUACUGUAUUAAAGUCACGUGAAAAGACAUUGAACUCUUGUCUGGUUUUUACAGUGUUUUCUACCUUCCAGACCUUCCCAAUGCCUGCAGCAGACUUUGAAUGCUGGUUAUUUAAGUGCCC